GAUGAAGAACGUAGCGAAAUGCGAUAAGUAGUGUGAAUUGCAGAAUUCAGUGAAUCAUCGAAUCUUUGAACGCACAUUGUGCCCCUUGGUAUCCCGAGGGGCAUGCCUGUUCGAGCGUCAUUUCACCACUCAAGCCUGGCUUGGUGUUGGGCGACGUCCUCUUUGGGGACGCGCCUCGAAACGCUCGGCGGCGUGGCACCGGCUUUAAGCGUAGCAGAAUCUUUCGCUUUGGAAGUCGGGGCCCCGUCUGCCGGAAGACCUGCUCGCAAGGUUGACCUCGGAUCAGGCAGGGAUACCCGCUGAACUUAAGCAUAUCAAUAAGCGGAGGA
RNAcentral lists this unclassified non-coding RNA (329 nucleotides) under soil metagenome. Its description in RNAcentral is "partial contains 5.8S ribosomal RNA, internal transcribed spacer 2, and large subunit ribosomal RNA". The stretch from base 1 to 120 matches the Rfam family "5.8S ribosomal RNA", at positions 35 to 154 of the family's 154-position model. The record is from RNAcentral.